UAAACGUUCUUCCUUCGGUCCAAAGAUUAUUACUUCAGUUUUGUUUUGAUUCAGCUGAAGAAAAUGUAGGCCCAUCCAUGCAUUGAUUUCUUCUAAGCAUUUACCAAGCGCUUGAAUAGGUUCAUUGUUAUCUGGUGACAUCGUAAUGUAUAGCUGUGUGUUGUCUGCAUAGUUAUGGUAACUUAUGUUGUUGUUUAUUACAAUCUGAGUGAGGGGGAGCAUGUAGAUACUGAAUAGAAAGGGCCCUAAGAUGGACCCUUGGGGAACGCCACAUGUGGUUUUUGUGGUCUGCAAUGCCAAAGGAUGCCAAACCAUUUGAUCAUACUGAUCAACCUACAGAGGGCUUAAUCUGAAGUCACAAAAAAAUUGAAACAGAAAAACAGAUGCGGCAGGCCAGUCAAAUUUGCUGAAAUGUCAUUGCCGCAACUCUAAAUAGUACUCAGCAGUUUGUAUGGCCCCCACGUGCUUGUAUAUGUGCCUCACAAUGUUGAGUCAUGCUCCUUAUGAGAUGACAAAUGGUGUCCUGGGGUAUCUCCUCCCAGAUCCUGACCAGGGCAUCACUGAGCUCCUGGACAGUCUGAGAUGCAACCUGGUGGCGUCAGAUGGACCUAAACAUGAUGUUCCAGAGAUGUUUGAUUGCAUUUAGCUAAGGGGAUCGUGGAGGCCACUCAAGUUCCAUGGUGAUGGGCAGUGAGUAUAUACCCUACUAGAGGAUGUCAGGCCAUCAGGCCAUUCUCAUGAAGUCUGUUUCUAAUGGUUUGGUCAGAGACAUUCACGCCAGUGGCCCCCUGGAGCUCACUUUGUAGGCCUCUGGCAGUACUCAUCCUUUUUCUAGUUGAACAAACGAGCAGAUACCAGUCCUGCUGAUGGGUUAACGAGCUCUGACAGCCCUGUCUAGCUCUCCUAGAGUAGCUAACUGCCUGUCUCCUGGAUACUCUGCCAUACUCCUGAGACUGUGCUGGGAGACACAGCAAACCUAAGGGCAAUGGCACUGGUAAUGGUAUUGAUAUGCCAUCCUGGUGAAGUUGGACUGCUUGUGCAACCUCUGUAGGGUCCAGGUUUCACCACAUGCUACCAGUAGUGACUGACCCUGUUCAUUUGCAGAACUAUUGAAAAUCAUUCCUGAUUUUUGGGCUGCCCCUUUAAUUCACCUGCAGCUAAUUUCAUCAACACCAAAACAGCUUGGACUGAUUAACAACCCCCUCUUCUACUGAACAGACCAGAUCAAUAUUCCAGGAGUUUAACUGAUAUGAUAUACUCUGAUUAAAAAGUAUCCCUUUCAUUUUUUUGAGCAGGUUAGAAACAAUUUCAGCUGUGCGCUACAAGAUCUUAGUCUGUCUUAUACUGGGGUCACAUGCUGGAGGUACGUUCCAGUACUUCAGCAUCAUUUUACAAGACUGGGAAAUUUUGGAACAAUGUCCUCUGGGUCGGCUUUGGGGAUUGCUUCACAGAGGGACAGCGUUAUGUCUCUCAGUAUGGUAUUUGUGGCUCCAAGCAGCACAUGGACUGAUGCGUCUGUCAGUAAAAGUGGAGGAUAUUUGGUUUAAAUAUCCCCACAUUGAAAUUUCUCCCAUCAGGAUAUCAGAAAUAAAACACGCCGCACUGAUGAACAUAAAUCGAGUUUUCUUUAAACUGUCAUAUGGGAGCAACUGAUCGGGAUGUCCCGCACACAACACCUUCUUGUUAAAUUUGGGCUGGUGGUUCAUCCCGUGAAGGUGCUGUCAUGAUCGGCCCAGUAGUCACGCUACAAUGCCUCAAGACCAAAUCUCUACUUCCUCCAGUCAGACGGAUCUGCAUCGCAGAGUGGACCCGUAAACAUGGGAGCGAGGGCUACAGGACCGUCCGCCUGACAGUCUUGUACUAAACAUGUACUGAAGCAGGAGUCUGCAGUAAAUGAUGCAAGAGCGCCGUCUAGUGGAGGCCACAUGGACACAGCUCAACUACCUGGAAAUCAUUAAAUGUGCUGCUGAGCAACAUUUUUCUCA
Molecule: long non-coding RNA, 1985 nt
Organism: Girardinichthys multiradiatus
Lineage: Eukaryota; Metazoa; Chordata; Actinopteri; Cyprinodontiformes; Goodeidae
Exons: 2
Source: RefSeq, a predicted model, not a curated record